AUCGAACGUUGGCGGCAGGCUUAACACAUGCAAGUCGAGCGGGGGAAGGUAGCUUGCUACCGGACCUAGAGGCGGACGGGUGAGUAAUGCUUAGGAAUCUGCCUAUUAGUGGGGGACAACAUCUCGAAAGGGAAGCUAAUAUCGCAUACGCUCUACGGUAGAAAGCAGGGGAUCUUCGGAUCUUGCUCUAUUAGAUGCGCCUAAGUCGGAUCAGCUAGUUGGUGGGGUAAAGGCCUACCAAGGCGACGAUCUGUAGCGGGUCUGAGAGGAUGAUCCGCCACACUGGGACUGAGUCACGGCCCAGACUCCUACGGGAGGCAGCAGUGGGGAAUAUUGGACAAUGGGGGGAACCCUGAUCCAGCCAUGCCGCGUGUGAGAAGAAGGCCUUAUGGUUGUAAAGCACUUUAAGCGAGGAGGAGGCUACUCUAGUUAAUACCUAGGGAUAGUAGACGUUACUCGCAGAAUAAGCACCGGCUAACUCUGUGCCAGCCGCCGCCGUAA
Molecule: ribosomal RNA, 501 nt
Filed under: uncultured bacterium
Lineage: Bacteria
Description: partial 16S ribosomal RNA
Rfam family: Bacterial small subunit ribosomal RNA
Source: RNAcentral